AAAUGAAUAGACGGGGGCCCGCACAAGCAGUGGAGCAUGUGGUUUAAUUCGAAGCUACGCGAAGAACCUUACCAGGGCUUGACAUGGUUCUAAGACCCUAGAAAUAGGGGGAUAUACAGAACACACAGGUGGUGCAUGGUUGUCGUCAGCUCGUGUCGUGAGAUGUUAGGUUAAGUCCUCCAACGAGCGCAACCCUUGUCCUUAGUUACCAUCAUUAAGUUGGGGACUUUAAGGAGACUGCCGGUGUAAGCCGGAGGAAGGUGGGGAUGACGUCAAAUCAUCAUGCCCUUUAUGUCCUGGGCGACACACGUGCUACAAUGGUCGGUACAAUGAGUGGCCAACUCGCGAGAGUGAGCGAAUCUCCUAAAGCCGAUCUCAGUUCGGAUUGAAGUCUGCAACUCGACUUCAUGAAGUCGGAAUUGCUAGUAAUCGUAGAUCAGCCAUGCUACGGUGAAUACGUUCCCGGGCCUUGUACACACCGCCCGU
Molecule: ribosomal RNA, 486 nt
Filed under: uncultured bacterium
Lineage: Bacteria
Description: bacterial SSU rRNA
Rfam family: Bacterial small subunit ribosomal RNA
Source: RNAcentral